Molecule: ribosomal RNA, 497 nt
Filed under: uncultured bacterium
Lineage: Bacteria
Description: partial 16S ribosomal RNA
Rfam family: Bacterial small subunit ribosomal RNA
Source: RNAcentral
GAUGAACGCUGGCGGCGUGCCUAAUACAUGCAAGUAGAACGCUGAAGGAAGGAGCUUGCUCUUUCCGGAUGAGUUGCGAACGGGUGAGUAACGCGUAGGUAACCUGCCUGGUAGCGGGGGAUAACUAUUGGAAACGAUAGCUAAUACCGCAUAACAGUAGAUGUUGCAUGAUAUCUACUUAAAAGGUGCAAUUGCACCACUACCAGAUGGACCUGCGUUGUAUUAGCUAGUUGGUGAGGUAACGGCUCACCAAGGCGACGAUACAUAGCCGACCUGAGAGGGUGAUCGGCCACACUGGGACUGAGACACGGCCCAGACUCCUACGGGAGGAAGCAGUAGGGAAUCUUCGGCAAUGGACGGAAGUCUGACCGAGCAACGCCGCGUGAGUGAAGAAGGUUGUCGGAUCGUAAAGCUCUGUUGUAAGAGAAGAACGAGUGUGAGAGUGGAAAGUUCACACUGUGACGGUAUCUUACCAGAAAGGGACGGCUAACUACGUG